CUUUGGGUUGUAAAGCUCUUUCGUCGGGGAAGAAAAUGACUGUACCCGAAUAAGAAGGUCCGGCUAACUUCGUGCCAGCAGCCGCGGUAAUACGAAGGGACCUAGCGUAGUUCGGAAUUACUGGGCUUAAAGAGUUCGUAGGUGGUUGAAAAAGUUAGUGGUGAAAUCCCAGAGCUUAACUCUGGAACUGCCAUUAAAACUUUUCAGCUAGAGUAUGAUAGAGGAAAGCAGAAUUUCUAGUGUAGAGGUGAAAUUCGUAGAUAUUAGAAAGAAUACCAAUUGCGAAGGCAGCUUUCUGGAUCAUUACUGACACUGAGGAACGAAAGCAUGGGUAGCGAAGAGGAUUAGAUACCCUCGUAGUCCAUGCCGUAAACGAUGUGUGUUAGACGUUGGAAAUUUAUUUUCAGUGUCGCAGGGAAACCGAUAAACACACCGCCUGGGGAGUACGACCGCAAGGUUAAAACUCAAAUGAAUUGACGGGGACCCGCACAAGUAGUGGAGCAUGUGGUUUAAUUCGAAGAUACGCGCAGAACCUUACCAACACUUGACAUGUUCGUCGCGACUCUAAGAGAUUAGAGUUUUCGGCUCGGCCGGACGAAACACAGGUGCUGCAUGGCUGUCGUCAGCUCGUGUCGUGAGAUGUUGGGUUAAGUCCCGCAACGAGCGCAACCCUCACUUUUAGUUGCCAUCAUUAAGUUGGGCACUCUGAAAGAACUGCCAGUGAUAAGCUGGAGGAAGGUGGGGGAUGACGUC
Molecule: ribosomal RNA, 753 nt
Filed under: uncultured Pseudomonadota bacterium
Lineage: Bacteria; Pseudomonadati; Pseudomonadota
Description: bacterial SSU rRNA
Rfam family: Bacterial small subunit ribosomal RNA
Source: RNAcentral